Molecule: ribosomal RNA, 274 nt
Filed under: uncultured bacterium
Lineage: Bacteria
Description: partial 16S ribosomal RNA
Rfam family: Bacterial small subunit ribosomal RNA
Source: RNAcentral
AUACGGAGGGUGCAAGCGUUAAUCGGAAUUACUGGGCGUAAAGCGUGCGCAGGCGGUUUGUUAAGUCAGAUGUGAAAGCCCCGGGCUCAACCUGGGAACUGCAUUUGAAACUGGCAAACUAGAGUGUGGUAGAGGGAAGUGGAAUUCCUCAUGUAGCGGUGAAAUGCGUAGAUAUGAGGAGGAACACCAGUGGCGAAGGCGACUUCCUGGACCAACACUGACGCUCAUGUACGAAAGCGUGGGUAGCAAACAGGAUUAGAUACCCUGGUAGUCC